GAAAGAUUUAUGCCUACCUACUUAAAAAUAUAUAAUCUUUAGCACAAGGCUUGAACAGUAAUGAUGCAUAUUGAAGAGUUGGAUUAUAGGACACAUUUUCUAUUUUUGACAUUUCCUUUGUGUUGUUACAUCAAUAACAUUCUUGAAAAAGGAAGAAAGAAAGAAAUGGUGUUCUAUAAAGUCUCUUCAGUACCCUGUGAUUUGGGUACUCAUAAUAGAGUAAAGUAAAGGGUUUCAUUAUGCUUUGUUUUGCUAACGGACGUCUGAUGUCCUUCUCCUGGUGUGAUUUUCAUUAUAGCUAGUUUCAAAGUGCUUGAAUUGGGAUUAGUUACUUAGUGAGAGUCUUCAUGUUCUGUUAGUUACUAACACCAAUUUUUAUGUGGCUUGAAAUGCAGAAUUCAUCACUAUUCUGAAUUCUUUAAAGUGUGAACCACCAUGACCUUGAAAAUCCCCAAAGAGGAAGACCUAGGUUUGAAUGAUACCACCGUUAAACAAGGGGUUUUAGAUCCUUCAUCCGCCCUUCAAGCCUAUUCCUUUCACAGGGCACAGGACUUUAUAGGUUGAUGUGAAUUGAUGCUGCUUGGUUAUGGAAGUGAGCUCACUAGAAUUAAAGCCUUGCCCGCUUAUUCAUGGAAGUUGGCAGGUCCCAGGAAACGAGCUCUUGGGCAGGGCUUUGUUCUUAUAAAAAUUAAUGGAAAAUAUCCCACUGGUUAAAUGACAUUUGUAGCAAAAGGAGUACCCUAAAAUGUAUUUCUAUUCUGUGAGAUGUAGAAACACCCAUUAUAGACAUUCACAAAAUAAUGAUUUGAGAAACAAGUGUAUAUAAUGCAAUGAAAAUAGUUCAUAUCUAUAAGUUUCUUUGGGGUGUUUGAAUGUUUAUAUUCCAUCACUCACCUCCUCUCAUGAUCCAGAUAAAAAGUUAAACAGCCUGUAAUCCCAGCACUUUGGGAGGCCGAGGCAGGCAGAUCACGAGGUCAGGAGAUUGAGACGAUCCUGGCUAACACAGUGAAACCCCAUCUCUACUAAAAAUACAAAAAA
This 1038-nucleotide long non-coding RNA is filed under the name Homo sapiens (human). Its description in RNAcentral is "long non-coding RNA NONHSAT173298". The record is from RNAcentral. Lineage: Eukaryota; Metazoa; Chordata; Mammalia; Primates; Hominidae.